CACUAUCGUUAACUGAAUACAUAGGUUAACGAGGCGAACCGGGGGAACUGAAACAUCUAAGUACCCCGAGGAAAAGAAAUCAACCGAGAUUCCCCCAGUAGCGGCGAGCGAACGGGGAGCAGCCCAGAGUCUGAAUCAGCUUGUGUGUUAGUGGAACGGUCUGGAAAGUCCGACGGUACAGGGUGAUAGUCCCGUACACCAAAAUGCACAGGCUGUGAACUCGAAGAGUAGGGCGGGACACGUGGUAUCCUGUCUGAAUAUGGGGGGACCAUCCUCCAAGGCUAAAUACUCCUGACUGACCGAUAGUGAACCAGUACCGUGAGGGAAAGGCGAAAAGAACCCCGGCGAGGGGAGUGAAAAAGAACCUGAAACCGUGUACGUACAAGCAGUGGGAGCACCUUCGGGUGUGACUGCGUACCUUUUGUAUAAUGGGUCAGCGACUUAUAUUCUGUAGCAAGGUUAACCGUAUAGGGGAGCCGCAGGGAAACCGAGUCUUAACUGGGCGUUAAGUUGCAGGGUAUAGACCCGAAACCCGGUGAUCUAGCCAUGGGCAGGUUGAAGGUUGGGUAACACUAACUGGAGGACCGAACCGACUAAUGUUGAAAAAUUAGCGGAUGACUUGUGGCUGGGGGUGAAAGGCCAAUCAAACCGGGAGAUAGCUGGUUCUCCCCGAAAGCUAUUUAGGUAGCGCCUCGUGAACUCAUCUUCGGGGGUAGAGCACUGUUUCGGCUAGGGGGUCAUCCCGACUUACCAACCCGAUGCAAACUACGAAUACCGAAGAAUGUUAUCACGGGAGACACACGGCGGGUGCUAACGUCCGUCGUGAAGAGGGAAACAACCCAGACCGCCAGCUAAGGUCCCAAAGUCAUGGUUAAGUGGGAAACGAUGUGGGAAGGCACAGACAGCCAGGAUGUUGGCUUAGAAGCAGCCAUCAUUUAAAGAAAGCGUAAUAGCUCACUGGUCGAGUCGGCCUGCGCGGAAGAUGUAACGGGGCUAAACCAUGCACCGAAGCUGCGGCAGCGACACUAUGUGUUGUUGGGUAGGGGAGCGUUCUGUAAGCCUGCGAAGGUGUGCUGUGAGGCAUGCUGGAGGUAUCAGAAGUGCGAAUGCUGACAUAAGUAACGAUAAAGCGGGUGAAAAGCCCGCUCGCCGGAAGACCAAGGGUUCCUGUCCAACGUUAAUCGGGGCAGGGUGAGUCGACCCCUAAGGCGAGGCCGAAAGGCGUAGUCGAUGGGAAACAGGUUAAUAUUCCUGUACUUGGUGUUACUGCGAAGGGGGGACGGAGAAGGCUAUGUUAGCCGGGCGACGGUUGUCCCGGUUUAAGCAUGUAGGCUGGUUGUCCAGGCAAAUCCGGAUAAUCAAGGCUGAGGUGUGAUGACGAGGCACUACGGUGCUGAAGUAACAAAUGCCCUGCUUCCAGGAAAAGCCUCUAAGCAUCAGGUAACAUUAAAUCGUACCCCAAACCGACACAGGUGGUCAGGUAGAGAAUACCAAGGCGCUUGAGAGAACUCGGGUGAAGGAACUAGGCAAAAUGGUGCCGUAACUUCGGGAGAAGGCACGCUGGUGUGUAGGUGAAGUCCCUGCGGAUGGAGCUGAGACCAGUCGAAGAUACCAGCUGGCUGCAACUGUUUAUUAAAAACACAGCACUGUGCAAACACGAAAGUGGACGUAUACGGUGUGACGCCUGCCCGGUGCCGGAAGGUUAAUUGAUGGGGUUAUCCGUAAGGAGAAGCUCUUGAUCGAAGCCCCGGUAAACGGCGGCCGUAACUAUAACGGUCCUAAGGUAGCGAAAUUCCUUGUCGGGUAAGUUCCGACCUGCACGAAUGGCGUAAUGAUGGCCAGGCUGUCUCCACCCGAGACUCAGUGAAAUUGAACUCGCUGUGAAGAUGCAGUGUACCCGCGGCAAGACGGAAAGACCCCGUGAACCUUUACUAUAGCUUGACACUGAACAUUGAGCCUUGAUGUGUAGGAUAGGUGGGAGGCUUUGAAGCGUGGACGCCAGUCUGCGUGGAGCCAACCUUGAAAUACCACCCUUUAAUGUUUGAUGUUCUAACGUUGGCCCCUGACCGGGGUUGCGGACAGUGUCUGGUGGGUAGUUUGACUGGGGCGGUCUCCUCCCAAAGCGUAACGGAGGAGCACGAAGGUUAGCUAAUCCUGGUCGGACAUCAGGAGGUUAGUGCAAUGGCAUAAGCUAGCUUGACUGCGAGCGUGACGGCGCGAGCAGGUGCGAAAGCAGGUCAUAGUGAUCCGGUGGUUCUGAAUGGAAGGGCCAUCGCUCAACGGAUAAAAGGUACUCCGGGGAUAACAGGCUGAUACCGCCCAAGAGUUCAUAUCGACGGCGGUGUUUGGCACCUCGAUGUCGGCUCAUCACAUCCUGGGGCUGAAGUAGGUCCCAAGGGUAUGGCUGUUCGCCAUUUAAAGUGGUACGCGAGCUGGGUUUAGAACGUCGUGAGACAGUUCGGUCCCUAUCUGCCGUGGGCGCUGGAGAAUUGAGGGGGGCUGCUCCUAGUACGAGAGGACCGGAGUGGACGCAUCACUGGUGUUCGGGUUGUCAUGCCAAUGGCACUGCCCGGUAGCUAAAUGCGGAAGAGAUAAGUGCUGAAAGCAUCUAAGCACGAAACUUGCCCCGAGAUGAGUUCUCCCUGAGACUUUAAGUCUCCUGAAGGAACGUUGAAGACGACGACGUUGAUAGGCCGGGUGUGUAAGCGCAGCGAUGCGUUGAGCUAACCGGUACUAAUGAACCGUGAGGCUUAACCUU
This 2758-nucleotide ribosomal RNA is filed under the name Klebsiella pneumoniae. RNAcentral's name for it is "bacterial LSU rRNA". It matches the Rfam family "Bacterial large subunit ribosomal RNA". The record is from RNAcentral. Lineage: Bacteria; Pseudomonadati; Pseudomonadota; Gammaproteobacteria; Enterobacterales; Enterobacteriaceae.